RNAcentral lists this long non-coding RNA (796 nucleotides) under Oryctolagus cuniculus (rabbit). Its description in RNAcentral is "lncRNA (ENSOCUG00000034247.1)". Lineage: Eukaryota; Metazoa; Chordata; Mammalia; Lagomorpha; Leporidae. The record is from RNAcentral.
AAAAUUAUUAAGCAAGACACAUGUUUUUAUUCUGAAUCACUAUGAAAGCAUGAAAAGCCUGCUUCCUAAAAUAAAUACACAUUUAUGCAAUUUCAUCUAAAAGCAAAGACAAAAAAAGUGAUCAUCAUUAUCAAAAUAUAUGAGAAUUUAUUUUAAACUUUAGGAUCUAGAUUUGGGGAGUGUUUUCUGCUCAAAGAUCUGAACCAUGCUAAAAUGCAUGAAACUCAAUUGUUUUUAGAGUUAAAAAAUCUUUAAACUGUAUGAUGCAAUGUUAUAAAAUGCAUUGUGAUUAUAUAUUAUGGACAGCUAAAGGAGAUCAAAAGCAGGGAAAGCAAAGAAAUGGAUGGAAACAAAUUACAGGGAAAGGAAUGUAAAUUCAAAGGAAAUGGAGAAAAUUCUUCAGACAUGAACCUAAAGGAAUGAGGCCAUUUUUAAUCAUAAUUUGCUCAUGGGCCUGUGAGCAUCAUGAUACAGUCUGAUAUGUGUUCCUUCCUAGGUAACAAGACCCUACUUGUUCAUGGGACAGGAAGAACCAUCACAAAGGACUCCCGUUCUCAUCUAGAAUUGGUUAUCUUCCAUAAUUCCAAGCAAACUGAAAACAGAGGAAAGGAGAUGAAUCACAUGCUUAAAGUCACAAAGCUGGUAAACCAAGCUGAGCCACUCUCAACAUCGCCAAACCAUGUCCGUGUGGCCAGAACUUUAAAAUGCUGCAUAAACAAGUCUUAAGUAAAAAAAUCACAGUGGGAGAGGGUUUUUUUUUUUGUGUGUUACAGUGGAUUAAGCCACAUCUCUGGAU